CAGCCGCCGCGGUAACACCAGCAGCCCAAGUGGUGGUCGCGAUUAUUGGGCCUAAAGCGCUCGUAGCCGGGCCGGUAAGUCCCUUGUGAAAUCGGACGGCCUAACCGUUCGGCGUGCAAGGGAUACUGUCGGUCUUGAGGCCGGGAGACGUCCGAGGUACUCCGGGGGUAGCGGUGAAAUGUUCUGAUCCUCGGGGGACCACCGGUGGCGAAGGCGUUCGACGAGAACGGGCCUGACGGUGAGGGGCGAAGGCUAGGGGAGCAAACGGGAUUAGAUACCCCAGUAGUCCCUGUCUCUUAUU
Molecule: ribosomal RNA, 301 nt
Filed under: uncultured bacterium
Lineage: Bacteria
Description: partial 16S ribosomal RNA
Rfam family: Archaeal small subunit ribosomal RNA
Source: RNAcentral